This is an RNA transcript of Manihot esculenta (cassava), 2438 nucleotides long. RefSeq lists it as uncharacterized. The record is from RefSeq and is a predicted model, not a curated record. The transcript has 4 exons. Lineage: Eukaryota; Viridiplantae; Streptophyta; Magnoliopsida; Malpighiales; Euphorbiaceae.
CGUCAGUAUGAGUCAAAGCUUGGAAGACCUAAUUCUGGAAAAGCUCCCAUGUUUGUUUCCUGUGCUUUUCUUCUGAGCUUCUCUUCUGAGCUCCUCUUCUGUUAUAUUGUCUUAAUUUUUAAGAGAAAUCUACAUUAUCAGGUAAUUACUUAAGUUUCUGUGAUAUGUUCUUCAGUAAUAUUUGAGACAGGAACACUUUUCAAUUUGGCUUCUGCUUUCGACAAAAGCUUGCUUUUUUUUCCCCUCGCUUUUUCUGGGUAUGGAUGAUUUGUUUGCUUUCUUCCCCUCCUGUUGUUAGUGUUUCUAAUUUUAGUUGUUAGUCCGAGAAAGAACCUCUCUUUUUUUGUCUUUUUUUGGUGGGUAGAAUGGGUUGCAAAAGGAGAAGCACCGGAAGUUCGGGCAGGGUUGACGUUGAUGAUGAUGAAGUGCAUGAUCUAGGUAAUGAUGUGAGGUUGGCCAGGCGAUGGAAGAGAAGGGUUGUUGCCUAUCAAGAUUCCAAGCUCAAUCAUGGUCGUAAAAUUAGCUCUGGUGAAGGUAAUUGCAAUAAGGGUUCUAAGAAAUUACCUGAAACUAGCUACAUUUUGAUCAGUGAUGAUGAUGAUGCAAUGGAUGUUGAUUACGCGGCUUAUUUCAAUAGUAUAGCUUUAGAACCAAAUGGUAAUAGUCAUGUCGAUAAGCGUAGGCCUGAGGAUGAUGGUGACACUGGAAGUGGUGCAUUGGCAGAGAACAUGUCGUUAACUGUUGUUGAUGCUCUAGAUAAUGAUGCAGAUCCUCAGAACAGGAUGGUGCUGGAAAGCAACAAUGUUGAAAUUGAUGAUAGUAAAGAAGGAGAAUAUUUGGAUUCUGAUUACAUGAAGUAUUUGGAUUGUAUAGCUUUAGAACCGUUUGUUGAUAAUAGUGUUGUUUAUAUUGAUAAUAUUGUGGAUAAUUGUGUUAAUACCAAUGCUGUUAAUGGGUUAGUAGAGAAUGGUACCAGUGGGGAUAAAUGGAUAGAGAAAGAAUCCAUCAAUGGUGAUGCUUCUAAUCACGAUAAUAAUGCCUGUGGUGAUUUGGAUCUGCAGCACAAGGAAAUUACAGAAAACAACAAUGUUGAAUUUGAUGAUGAUGUUGAUUACAAGAAGUUUCUUGUUUCAGAACUGUUUGGUGGUGGUGGUAAUGAUCAGCAUGUGGCUAAUGUUGCUAAUGAUAUCAAUUUUGAUAACCAUUCUGCUGAGGUUGAUCCUUGUGGCAAUCAGUCCGUAGAGAACGGUACAACUGAUUGUGGGUUUGUAGAGCCUAGGGCUGCAGACAAUAAUGCUGAUUACAAUGAUGCUUUGGAUGAUAUUGAUCCUGAAUAUAAGAUGUUCCUUGGAAAUUUGAGAGAAGAUGGAAAAUCAUAUGUGGUUGAAGUUCCACUGAAUGAUGAUGUAUCUGUCAUUAUUAAGUAUGAAAUGGAUGAUGGGUCACACAAUGGGUGCGGAGUAGAAAAUCUUAGUAAAACAAGGCCUUGUCAAGAAGCUGCUGGUGGGACCAAGCAUGAUCACAAGCCAGAGAUGGAAAGUGAUAUGGAUGAGAGCUACAAAAUAUUCCUCAAUUGUCUGAAGAGAGAGGGGGGUAAUAUGGUAUUUGUACAUGAAAGUGGUGCAAGGGUGAUAUAUGAAGAGGAUGAAGAGAGUUCAUCUGAUUCUGAAGUAAUUGUGAUGGAUACUGAUCCAUUUGCUAAUGCAAAUUAUACUCCUUUUGUGCUUUCAAAGCAACAUAUUGUAACGAUGCCAUUGAGGACGUUAAAGAUUCUUCUAGAAAUCAGUGCAUUUGGUUUAUGGAGAGUGUUAUGGGAAUCCUCAAAAAGCCUUAUGACCCAGAGGAGUAUGAUAAACUUUUGGAAGAAGUAUAUAGCCGCAAGCCAGUUAUAGAGGACAGAGAAAUGCGAAAUGGACGGACUAGAUUAUGCCCAGCCCAAAGAAUGGGGAAAUCAUAUGUUGAUCUGCACCAGGAUCUUGACAAACAGAUCAAGUCGGCCGGGUCUAAUAAGCCUAAAAUUUUGAAUCUCUUGCGUGGAUUUUUCUAUUGGUUGCAGCAUACACCACAUGAAGGAAUUUUCAAACCAUGGAUGGACUCGUCAUGCUUGGAAGUGUUGCCACAUGGAAAUGUUGCAUCUGAUUCAUAUUGACAUCUGAGAAGAUUACGAGUGGAAUCUAGCCUGUGAAAGAAUAUUCUGGCAGACAAGAUUGUGCAUUCAAAUAUUGCAUCAGUUAAAGAUGUCAACACAGUGGAGCUAAGUUUGGUGGCUGAAGGUGUUUGCUUGAUGCAACUUUUUGAAUGUUGUGGGUGACAGGCUUAUAUUAACUGUAAAUCAGGUCAUGUCAACACUCAUAACCAAAAACCUGUGUAUAUAUUGUCUAGCUGCUGCUCAAUUUGAAUCUUAUUAUGCAUCUUCAAUCUGUCCAUCAUUAUUAAAC